CCUACGGGUGGCAGCAGUGGGGAAUAUUGGACAAUGGGCGAAAGCCUGAUCCAGCCAUGCCGCGUGUGUGAAGAAGGCCUUCGGGUUGUAAAGCACUUUCAGUGGGGAAGAAAGCCUUGGGGCUAAUACCCUCGAGGAAGGACAUCACCCACAGAAGAAGCACCGGCUAACUCCGUGCCAGCAGCCGCGGUAAUACGGAGGGUGCGAGCGUUAAUCGGAAUUACUGGGCGUAAGCGCGCGUAGGCGGUCUGAUAAGCCGGUUGUGAAAGCCCCGGGCUCAACCUGGGAACGGCAUCCGGAACUGUCAGGCUAGAGUGCAGGAGAGGAAGGUAGAAUUCCCGGUGUAGCGGUGAAAUGCGUAGAGAUCGGGAGGAAUACCAGUGGCGAAGGCGGCCUUCUGGACUGACACUGACGCUGAGGUGCGAAAGCGUGGGUAGCAAACAGGAUUAGAUACCCCGGUAGUC
RNAcentral lists this ribosomal RNA (464 nucleotides) under Vreelandella stevensii. Its description in RNAcentral is "partial 16S ribosomal RNA". It matches the Rfam family "Bacterial small subunit ribosomal RNA", at positions 338 to 795 of the family's 1533-position model. The record is from RNAcentral. Lineage: Bacteria; Pseudomonadati; Pseudomonadota; Gammaproteobacteria; Oceanospirillales; Halomonadaceae.